Long non-coding RNA from Haliotis rubra (blacklip abalone), 866 nucleotides. RefSeq lists it as uncharacterized. The record is from RefSeq and is a predicted model, not a curated record. NCBI's taxonomy places the organism in Eukaryota, Metazoa, Mollusca, Gastropoda, Lepetellida, Haliotidae. The transcript is spliced from 3 exons.
GGUGUCUGGACACAAGCUGACAGCGAAGCCAAAUGUGAACUGUUAUCAGUGGAAGCAUGAUGGAUGUCCUUCUCAGUGGUCAUAUUCCAAGCCUACUGGGUUAUGCCUCCGACUGUUCACAUCGCGAGUUACCAAUAAUGUCGCGAGACAAACAUGUGUGGACAAUGGCGGAAGACUCGUGAACAUCCAGAAUUCAAAAGAAAACAACCUGAUCCGAAAAAUUAUGUUGGGAGAAGGUGCUGGCCUCCACAUUGGGUUGAAGAAGACGUCUUUGGUGUGGACAUGGCACCUUGGGGAGGACCUUGGUGCUUUCAGGUCAUGGAGCAGUGGUCAUCCCAAAUCUGGAAACUGUGUUGUUAUGAGCAAACUAACCAAAGACUGGUACACAGAUUCUUGUUCAAAUACUAGGGGAUGUGUAUGCCAAAUCGUCCUAAACAACCAUUUCGGUGAUUGUUAAGUCGAAGUAGGAGGAGGUAACGUGUUCGGGAACUUCUUCGGCGAGGCAGGAUUUAAUGUCAUUGAAGAUAAUACUGAGCUGACAAUCUAAAAAUCUUGUUUAAAUGUACUGAUGACCUCUAAUCGUUCCUUCCUCACUAAAAAAUUAAAGUGCAACCAAAAUAUAAAAAAGCAAAACACUUUCCUAUUUUCCUUUUCGCAUUGUUUGCUGGAAAAUUGUUGGGUGCGGCGAUAAACAACAAACAUGCUUGCAAGGACUUCUGUCAGAACCUUAACUAGAAAUAGAAUUGUUACAUAAAUUUUGUUAAAUGAUUUGUAAAUAGAUGAAUAUUUUAGUAUUGGCAGUUUAAUUGACCAGCUGAGAUUGUGAGUGGCUGUAUCCUCAUGGGGUGGGGUGGGGGUGUGAAGUA